AUGGCGUCGGCCAGCUUCAUCGCCCGCUGCGUCUCCGUCCCCGCGCGCCUCAUCGCCAACCCCACGCCCCUCGCCAUCACCACCUGCAGGCUGCGGCGGCUUGGCGCCGUGGGAGCGAGGCCGGUGUGCGCUGCCGGGAGGAUGCUCGGCUCCGUCAGAUACGGCACCGGAGCAGCGUCGGGCCCCAAGGAAGCCAAUGCGGAGGUGGCCGCCGUGCCGCCGUCGGUGCCGGUGCGCGUCGCCUACAAGCUGCAGCUGGCCGGCCACCGCUACCUCGACGUCAGAACGGAGGGUGAGUUCGGCGGCGGGCAUCCGGCAGGAGCGGUGAACAUCUCCUACAUGCACAGCACCGGCUCAGGGAUGGCGAAAAACUCGGGCUUUCUAGAGCAAGUGUCGGCGAUAUUCAGGAGGGAAGACGAGAUCAUCAUUGGUUUCACUGGCGUGACCGACAUCGCCGGAGGGUUUUUGGCUUGGAAGGAGAACGAGCUGCCGAUCAACCAGUGA
RNAcentral lists this ribosomal RNA (504 nucleotides) under Triticum aestivum (bread wheat). RNAcentral's name for it is "partial small subunit ribosomal RNA". Lineage: Eukaryota; Viridiplantae; Streptophyta; Magnoliopsida; Poales; Poaceae. The record is from RNAcentral.